This 413-nucleotide ribosomal RNA is filed under the name uncultured spirochete. RNAcentral's name for it is "bacterial SSU rRNA". It matches the Rfam family "Bacterial small subunit ribosomal RNA", at positions 958 to 1365 of the family's 1533-position model. Lineage: Bacteria; Pseudomonadati; Spirochaetota; Spirochaetia; Spirochaetales. The record is from RNAcentral.
AACGCGAAGAACCUUACCAGAGCUUGACAUACACCGGAAGACAAUUGAGCGAGUGUUAAUGAUGGCAAUCGGUGCACAGGUGGCGCAUGNCUGUUCUCAGCUCGUGCUGUGAAGUUUUGGGUUANGUCCCGCAACGAGCGCNACCCCUUCCCUGUGUUAACCGCAUGUAAAGNUGGGGACUCAGAUGGAACCGCCGGUGACAAACCGGAGGAAGGUGGGGAGAGACGUCAAGUCAUCAUGGCCCUUACGUCCUGGGGNACACACGUGUUACAAUGGNCGGUACAGAGUGCGGGGAACCCGAGAGGGCAACCGAAUCCCGGAAANCCGGUCCCAGUACGGAUUGGAUUUUGCAACCCGACUCCAUGAAGUUGGAUUCGUUAGUAAUCCCAAAUCAGCAUGGUGGGGUGAUACGU